This 393-nucleotide long non-coding RNA is filed under the name Homo sapiens (human). Its description in RNAcentral is "HSALNT0392905". Lineage: Eukaryota; Metazoa; Chordata; Mammalia; Primates; Hominidae. The record is from RNAcentral.
CGGACGGGGGCGCGCAACCUGCCGCCGGCCGGGACCCUGCGGCGAGUGCCGGAACCCGGCCGGGCGGGGCCUCCCGCGGCCCGGCCGCUUUAUUGGGUCACCGGCCUCGCCCACCGCCCUGCCAGCCGCAGCCAUCUCGGCGGGCGCGCCGCUCGCAGCCAGCGCCCCAUCCCCAGGCCUGCACGAGCUGAACACUGCCCCGAGAAUGCAACAGAACUUCAGCUCUGUCCCAAGGUCGUCAGCCACAGCUCCAAGUUUCUUAGCAUCAGCUUUUUCUGAACAAAAUAGUGCAUCCUGCUGGAAUCACUACUGUAAACUGAGUAUAAAGGAAAAUAAACCCUCUUUUUCUUAUCCACUAUGUUCCCUACUCCCGUGCUUUUCCCAGUGCUCCAG